This 22-nucleotide small nuclear RNA is filed under the name Arabidopsis thaliana (thale cress). RNAcentral describes it as "snRNA_14529". The record is from RNAcentral. Lineage: Eukaryota; Viridiplantae; Streptophyta; Magnoliopsida; Brassicales; Brassicaceae.
UCUCCACGGUGUACCACGGGUU